RNAcentral lists this ribosomal RNA (465 nucleotides) under uncultured Pseudomonadaceae bacterium. Its description in RNAcentral is "bacterial SSU rRNA". It matches the Rfam family "Bacterial small subunit ribosomal RNA", at positions 338 to 795 of the family's 1533-position model. Lineage: Bacteria; Pseudomonadati; Pseudomonadota; Gammaproteobacteria; Pseudomonadales; Pseudomonadaceae. The record is from RNAcentral.
CCUACGGGAGGCUGCAGUGGGGAAUAUUGGACAAUGGACGAAAGCCUGAUCCAGCCAUGCCGCGUGUGUGAAGAAGGUCUUCGGAUUGUAAAGCACUUUAAGUUGGGAGGAAGGGCAGUAAGCUAAUACCUUGCUGUUUUGACGUUACCGACAGAAUAAGCACCGGCUAACUUCGUGCCAGCAGCCGCGGUAAUACGAAGGGUGCAAGCGUUAAUCGGAAUUACUGGGCGUAAAGCGCGCGUAGGUGGCUCGUUAAGUGGGAUGUGAAAGCCCCGGGCUCAACCUGGGAACUGCAUCCAAAACUGGCGAGCUAGAGUACGGUAGAGGGUUGUGGAAUUUCCUGUGGAGCGGUGAAAUGCGUAGAUAUAGGAAGGAACAACAGUGGCGAAGGCGACCACCUGGACUGAUACUGACACUGAGGUGCGAAAGCGUGGGGAGCAAACAGGAUUAGAUACCCCUGUAGUC